UCAUCGUCGCUAUCUGUGAAGAAAUCAGCCAUUGUUGGAGGAAGCGAGAAUGAAGAGCGAAUUUCAGCAGUUGCCGGUGGGGCUAGGGGCGGACCUGCAGUGGGAGAAAAGUAUGUCUCCUUCUCCAUUAUCAUGUUCUUAAAUUUUUAGUUGAGGCUAUAAUAAUAAGUUUUAGAAAUAUUUGAGUGGGGGUUAUAGAAAGUUUGAGGUUGUACGCAGUGUUCUUUGAAAAUCAAUUUUGAAAAUUUAUUAAUAUUGUAAAUUAUUAAAUGGGGCUAUGAGG
This 283-nucleotide long non-coding RNA is filed under the name Salvia miltiorrhiza (redroot sage). RNAcentral describes it as "long non-coding RNA (SMIL_LNC013924)". The record is from RNAcentral. Lineage: Eukaryota; Viridiplantae; Streptophyta; Magnoliopsida; Lamiales; Lamiaceae.